RNAcentral lists this ribosomal RNA (253 nucleotides) under uncultured bacterium. RNAcentral's name for it is "partial 16S ribosomal RNA". It matches the Rfam family "Bacterial small subunit ribosomal RNA", at positions 524 to 776 of the family's 1533-position model. The record is from RNAcentral.
UACGGAGGGUGCAAGCGUUGUUCGGAAUUACUGGGCGUAAAGCGCGUGUAGGCGGCCGAUUAAGUCUGGUGUGAAAGCCCGGGGCUCACCCCCGGAAGUGCGCUGGAAACUGGUCGGCUAGAGUAUGGGAGAGGAAAGUGGAAUUCCGGGUGUAGUGGUGGAAUACGUAGAUAUCCGGAGGAACACCAGCGGCGAAGGCGGCUUUCUGGUCCGAUUCUGACGCUGAGGCGCGAAAGCGUGGGGAGCGAUCCGG